RNAcentral lists this ribosomal RNA (256 nucleotides) under uncultured bacterium. Its description in RNAcentral is "partial 16S ribosomal RNA". It matches the Rfam family "Bacterial small subunit ribosomal RNA", at positions 521 to 776 of the family's 1533-position model. The record is from RNAcentral.
UAAUACGAAGGGGGCUAGCGUUGCUCGGAAUGACUGGGCGUAAAGGGCGCGUAGGCGGUUUGAUCAGUUAGGUGUGAAAUUCCUGGGCUUAACCUGGGGGCUGCACUUAAUACGGUCAGACUUGAGUGUGAAAGAGGGUCGUGGAAUUCCCAGUGUAGAGGUGAAAUUCGUAGAUAUUGGGAAGAACACCGGUGGCGAAGGCGGCGACCUGGUUCAUUACUGACGCUGAGGCGCGAAAGCGUGGGGAGCAAACAGG